RNAcentral lists this ribosomal RNA (404 nucleotides) under uncultured bacterium. Its description in RNAcentral is "bacterial SSU rRNA". It matches the Rfam family "Bacterial small subunit ribosomal RNA", at positions 18 to 423 of the family's 1533-position model. The record is from RNAcentral.
CCUGGCUCAGAUUGAACGCUGGCGGCAUGCUUUACACAUGCAAGUCGAACGGUAACAGGGAGCUUGCUCCGCUGACGAGUGGCGAACGGGUGAGUAAUGCAUCGGAACGUACCCAGUCGUGGGGGAUAACGUAGCGAAAGUUACGCUAAUACCGCAUACGUCCUGAGGGAGAAAAGCGGGGGACCGUAAGGCCUCGCGCGAUUGGAGCGGCCGAUGUCGGAUUAGCUAGUUGGUAGGGUAAAGGCCUACCAAGGCGACGAUCCGUAGCGGGUCUGAGAGGAUGAUCCGCCACACUGGGACUGAGACACGGCCCAGACUCCUACGGGAGGCAGCAGUGGGGAAUUUUGGACAAUGGGCGAAAGCCUGAUCCAGCCAUGCCGCGUGAGUGAAGAAGGCCUCGGUGU